UCUGCUCGAUCGACCGCGCCUCCUCCUCGAUCCUUGUGUGCCCUGUCGAAGGCUACCUUGUGGCUGUCGUUGGUGGGUAGGUGCGCUGCUUUGGGAUGAAGCUGGUCCUUGACUUUCGCUGAUGGCUUGUCUCGGGUUUCCAUUUCCACCCCUCCAGGUGGGUUCAUUGUCCACUGUCUCCCAAGAUUAUUCCCUGCUGCCAUCGCUGCCAGUUGGUGAGCUAAUUUGUUGCCAUCCCUUGGAGUCCAGGUAGCUUCCACAUCUGGAGCCUCGUCUAGCAGUUG
Arachis ipaensis is the source of this 284-nucleotide non-coding RNA. Lineage: Eukaryota; Viridiplantae; Streptophyta; Magnoliopsida; Fabales; Fabaceae. The record is from RefSeq and is a predicted model, not a curated record.